Molecule: ribosomal RNA, 189 nt
Filed under: uncultured Cytophaga sp.
Lineage: Bacteria; Pseudomonadati; Bacteroidota; Cytophagia; Cytophagales; Cytophagaceae
Description: partial 16S ribosomal RNA
Rfam family: Bacterial small subunit ribosomal RNA
Source: RNAcentral
CCUACGGGAGGCAGCAGUAAGGGAUAUUGGACAAUGGUCGCAAGACUGAUCCAGCCAUGCCGCGUGAAGGAUGACGGCCCUAUGGGUUGUAAACUUCUUUUGUAUGAGAAAAAACCCCUCUACGUGUAGAGGGCUGAUUGUAUCAUAAGAAUAAGGAUCGGCUAACUCCGUGCCAGCAGCCGCGGUAAU